GGCCCUAUAGCUCAGUUGGUUAGAGCACCCGACUCAUAAUCGGUAGGUCCCCUGUUCGAGUCAGGGUGGGGCCACCA
RNAcentral lists this transfer RNA (77 nucleotides) under Catenovulum sediminis. Its description in RNAcentral is "tRNA-Ile". It matches the Rfam family "tRNA". Rfam says of the family: Transfer RNA (tRNA) molecules are approximately 80 nucleotides in length. Their secondary structure includes four short double-helical elements and three loops (D, anti-codon, and T loops). Further hydrogen bonds mediate the characteristic L-shaped molecular structure. tRNAs have two regions of fundamental functional importance: the anti-codon, which is responsible for specific mRNA codon recognition, and the 3' end, to which the tRNAs corresponding amino acid is attached (by aminoacyl-tRNA synthetases). tRNAs cope with the degeneracy of the genetic code in two manners: having more than one tRNA (with a specific anti-codon) for a particular amino acid; and 'wobble' base-pairing, i.e. permitting non-standard base-pairing at the 3rd anti-codon position. RNAcentral also lists the same sequence under 1 other name. The record is from RNAcentral. Lineage: Bacteria; Pseudomonadati; Pseudomonadota; Gammaproteobacteria; Alteromonadales; Alteromonadaceae.